CCCUAACCUGUUGCUAAAUCCACAGUCUACUUCCACCCAGCUACCUCACAGUCCUGAGAUCCCAACAAGUUUCCAACCUCAGUGCAUGUUCUUCCUCCUGCCUCUCAGAUCUCUAGCUACCUCUACUUAAAUACUGCUCUUGUGGACUUGCCUGGUGUGGCGGCCUCCCAGGCAUGUGACUCUCAGCAGGUGACUUGGCUUCUCUACGUUGCUAAUGGUGCCUACUCGGCAUGUAACAGGCCUGGAUGAACGGUAGCUGCUGCGGUUACAUUAUUAGCUUCAGUUUGCCCGCCCAGGCUAGAUGUUUAAUCAGAUUUCACAGACUUCACAGUGUGAGUUGGGGAUGUGACUUCGUAUGAAAGUGAAGGAACUCAG
This 375-nucleotide long non-coding RNA is filed under the name Homo sapiens (human). RNAcentral's name for it is "HSALNT0261384". Lineage: Eukaryota; Metazoa; Chordata; Mammalia; Primates; Hominidae. The record is from RNAcentral.